RNAcentral lists this long non-coding RNA (369 nucleotides) under Dermacentor andersoni. RNAcentral's name for it is "uncharacterized LOC126525775". Lineage: Eukaryota; Metazoa; Arthropoda; Arachnida; Ixodida; Ixodidae. The record is from RNAcentral.
GGAACAUUGAAGUUAAUAUAUCCGCAAUGCGGAAGGUUUUUGGGAUAAGUAUUUCCGCCAUUUUUGGCAUAAUUGUUUUUCUUCUGUUCACAGUGGUCGGACAAAGUGAUUCCUCGGCUCUUCUUCCACAGCAUAAUUUGAAAAUUGAGGGGAGGAUGCUCAAAUUCGGGAGGCCUACCACUACCACCCGUCGAACAACUACAACAAAACGUCGAGAGAGGUUAAUCUGAGGAGACAGAAGACAGUUGUCGGUGAAGCCAGGUACUUUCACGGAAUGCAGGAAAGUGUUGUGCUUGUUCUAAUCAAUUGUGGGUCGGAACAUGACAAUAAAUAUCAGAAGAAAUAAAAAGAAGAGAAGAAUGAAAAAAA